Molecule: ribosomal RNA, 297 nt
Filed under: Clostridioides difficile
Lineage: Bacteria; Bacillati; Bacillota; Clostridia; Peptostreptococcales; Peptostreptococcaceae
Description: partial 23S ribosomal RNA
Rfam family: Bacterial large subunit ribosomal RNA
Source: RNAcentral
CCGGGCGACCUACCCAUGAGCAGGAUGAAGCGAAAGUAAAAUUUCGUGGAGGUCCGAACCCACGAGCGUUGAAAAGCUCGGGGAUGACUUGUGGGUAGCGGGGAAAUUCCAAUCGAGCCCGGAGAUAGCUGGUUCUCCCCGAAAUAGCUUUAGGGCUAGCCUCAAGGUGAGAGAUACGGAGGUAGAGCACUGAAUGUCCUAGGGGGUAUUGCACCUACCGAAGACUAUCAAACUCCGAAUGCCGUCAUCUUAUACUUGGGAGUCAGACUGUGGGUGAUAAGAUUCAUAGUCGAAAGG